AACUUCAACAACGGAUCUCUGUCUGCAUCGAGAAGAACGCAGCAAAAGCGAUAAUAAUGAAUGCAGAAUCAGUGAAUCAUCGAAUCUUGAACGCACAUUGCCCGCCAGAUUCUGCGCAUGCCGUCGAGCGUCAUUCAACCCCAAGCCCAGCUGGUGGGAGCUGCAUCCGCUGCACCCCCAAAUACAUGCGUCACGUCGAGCUCCAUAGCGAGUAAUUACAUAUCGUACUGUAACGCGCGGCCACGCCGUUAAACCCAACUUCGAAUUGACCUCGAUCAGUAGAAACCCCGAACUAAGCAUAUCAAUAACGAGAAAAGAACCAACAGGAGCCAAACGCGAUGAACGCAACACCAAAUUGAAAUCGCUUCGCCGAUUAAUGUAGAGAUAUUGAUGCGGCCUCCGAUCCUGAACGGACGCCAAGAGGUGAGAGCCCGCUGGAUGCCAAAUCUCUGUAAAUCCUUCGACAGCGAGUAUGGAAUGCUCUAAAGGAUAAUCCAAACAAAUACGCCAGAGACGAUAGCGCACAAAGAGUGAUCGAAAGAAAAAGCACUUGAAAAGAGUAAAAAGACGAAAUGUGAAAGGAAGCGUUAUGACCAGACGGCUGUAAUCACUGGUCUCUCCAGUCACUUUCCAGCCCAGCCAGCAUCAUUUCGCCGGGGAUAAAGACUCGGAAUGUGCUCCCCCGGAUUAAGCCCGUGUAAUACCCUGUGGGACGAGUCGCGCUCUGCAAGAGCGCGUAAUGUCAUCAACGACCCGCUUAAACACGACCAAGAUCGUCCGUACGAGUCGGGUCAAACCCCUACGCGAAUGAAAAACGCAGUGAAGCUCGCGCAUCAUCGACCGAUCCGAUCUCGAGAUUGAGUAAAGCAUACGCCGACCCGAAAGAAGAACAGCCGUAGGAACCAAGAAACUCUGGAGCCGCACGUCGACUGCAAAUCGAUCGUCAAACAUGCAGGGGCGAAAGACUAAUCGAACCUCUAGUACGUUCCGCGAAUUCCCUCAGAUAGCAUGUAACUCAGUUUAUGAGUAAGCGAAGAUAGACCGGGCGCAUUUAGCCUCACCAUCCAAAUUAAAUAUAGAACCUUGCUUAAUGAACGAGCACGAAGUAUCAACACAUGCCAUUUUGGUAGCAACUGCAGCGGAUAACGACGCGAGGUAAGUCCAAGAACGCUCAUCAGACACCACAAAAGUUAACAUCUUCACAGGACGCCAUGAAUCGAAUCCGCUAGGACUGUGUACAACCACCUGCCGAAUUACUAGCCCUGAAAGAUGGACGCUCAAGUCUCACCAUACCCGCCUCAGUAGAACGAAGCCCUGAGGAUAGCGACGUGAGGUCAGACAACCAGCUGAGCCCGGACGCCCAGGCAAUCUUGGGUGUAGCAAAUACAAUGAAACGAAACCGAAAGGGGAAAUUCCAUUGAACACGUGACAGGGUAGUCAUCCAAGCUAUAGGAAGUCCUUCAAAGCGCACUUGCGCCGCAGCGAAGACCGUCAAUAUUCCGCACCUGAUGUGGUUUGCGCGCAACGCAACUGAACGUGGAGACGACGCGGGGCCCCAAGCAGAGUUCUCUUUCUUCUUAACAGUCUCUCACCCUGAAAUCGGUUUGUCCGGAGCUAGGUUAAUGGCUGGAAGAGCCCGGCACCUCUGCGGUUUGGUGCGCUCUCGACGUCCUUGAAAAUCCACGGAAGAAAUAAUUCUCACGCCAGGUCGUACUCAUAACCGCAGCAGGUCUCCAAGGUGAACAGCCUCUGUUGAUAGAACAAUGUAGAUAAGGAAGUCGGCAAAAUAUCCGUAACUUCGGGAAAAGGAUUGGCUCUAAGGGUUGGGCACGUGGGCCUUGGCGGACGUCCUGGGAGCAGGCCGCCAUAUCGGGCAACCGACCGGAGGCGGCCAGCAUCCGGGUGCUGAUGCCCUUGGCAGGCUCGGCCGUCCGGCGUGCGGUUAACAACCAACUUAGAACUGUACGGACAAGGGAAUCUGACUGUCUAAUAAAACAUAGCAUUGCGAUGGCCAGAAAGUGUGUUGACGCAAUGUGAUUCUGCCCAGUGCUCUGAAUGUCAAAGUGAAGUAAUUCAAAGCGCGGUAAACGGCGGGAGUAACUAUGACUCUCUUAAGGUAGCCAAAUGCCUCGUCAUCUAAUAGUGACGCGCAUGAAUGGAUUAACGAGAUUCCCACUGUCCUAUCUACUAUCUAGCGAAACACAGCCAAGGAACGGCUGGCAGAAUCAGCGGGAAAGAAGACCCUGUUGAGCUUGACUCUAGUUUGACAUUGUGAAAAGACAUAGGAGGUGUAGAAUAGGUGGGAGCUUCGCGCCGGUGAAAUACCACUACUCCUAUGUUUUUUACUUAUUCAAUGAAGCGGGCUGGAUUUACGUCCAACUUCUGUUUUAAGUCCUUCGCGGGCCGACCCGGUUGAAGACAUUGUCAGGUGGGGAGUUUGGCUGGGGCGGCACAUCUGUUAAACCAUAACGCAGGUGUCCUAAGGGGCUCAUGG
This 2494-nucleotide ribosomal RNA is filed under the name Fusarium culmorum. RNAcentral's name for it is "eukaryotic LSU rRNA". The stretch from base 266 to 2494 matches the Rfam family "Eukaryotic large subunit ribosomal RNA", at positions 1 to 2679 of the family's 3401-position model. The record is from RNAcentral. Lineage: Eukaryota; Fungi; Ascomycota; Sordariomycetes; Hypocreales; Nectriaceae.